GUAAUAAUUAUGAGUGCAGUUCAAAAGAAGGCGCGCAUUGCAAAUGAUUCUUGGAAAAAUAACUUCUUACAUUUACUAGAGAAAUAACUCCUUUGUUUUAAACCGGUUUUAAAGCAAUCAGUUAGUGGAGUGGCUUUCCAAAUCCGUUUUAAUUGUUGUAUUUUCUUCCACAGUACUGUGAUGUAUGUACGUGUAUGCAUGGAGUGUGC
This 209-nucleotide long non-coding RNA is filed under the name Drosophila guanche. The record is from RNAcentral. Lineage: Eukaryota; Metazoa; Arthropoda; Insecta; Diptera; Drosophilidae.